This is a non-coding RNA of Lolium perenne, 1578 nucleotides long. NCBI's taxonomy places the organism in Eukaryota, Viridiplantae, Streptophyta, Magnoliopsida, Poales, Poaceae. The record is from RefSeq and is a predicted model, not a curated record.
AUGUUUUCAGAUCACGAAAUAAAUCAUUGGUUUAGGUAUGAUAACCUCACAUGCAUACAAUGAAUUUUUCACUAACAUGAUAUGAAUUGUACAUGCCUGGUUUGGUUCAUGUAGUCAAUGUUACACCUCUUUUAGGGCAGCUGAAUAAGAAAGAUUUCACAUUUACAUCAAGUAUCGGAGGUACAUUGUUCUGGCAAUUAGUGGUUUCCAAAACAUGUCAUGGUUACAUAUUUAUCAAGUACAGUGCUUUAUGCAAGAAAGCAAACAUCGUUGCAUGGGGUGAGCAUGCCAUUGCGCUGUUGGCGUACAUGCAAUCUAUAUAUUGAAGUACUUCAAAAUAAACUUGGUGCACAUCUACAUUAUGUUUCCUAAGUAGUGUUUACGACUUAAAACUGAACUGCCAUUUUUAUGUAACUUUGAACCGCAAGAGCAUCGGCGACUUAGAUCUCCUUCUCUCUCAUCUAUGCAUGUAAAUGGUGUUCUUCUCUUUUUUAUUUUACUCUGCCUACAACUGAACCAUCUAUGUACUGUGAGGUCCCUUUCCCAUGGAUGAUAUAACUCAAUUGCGCAUCUGCGGAGUGUCUGCUUUCUUGACUAUUCCAGGAAUGAUUCACACCGAGUAAUAGAGAUAUGGCAGGUAUGUUGAUUAAUUCCUGCAAUCAGGGUCAUGUCAAAUAUUCACAGCUGGCAAGUGAAGUAUAGGGACAAAGCGGCUUAUACCAGCUAGCCAACCUUCUAUAUAUAUGGUUGUUUUGGUAUUUUUAUAAUACACUGAUUUUAUCUAUAUAUAAUGUUAAUCAUAUUUUUGGUUGUUCAGGGACAGUAAAAAUUGAGUGUAUGCACAACCUACCAUUUUCCCCCCAUCUUUAGUAUUUAAUUUAGUGGUUGACCCUUAGUUGCAUACUCCAUAUCAUUUUUAUGUGAUGCUGAGGACAGAGGUAGAUAAUUACUUAAGCGAUCUGUGACCACUGAUCUACCUGAUGAUCCUGCAAGAAGCCACAUGCCCACUCAAGACGUCCUUGAACCAAUCAACCCAGACCUAGGCUGAGGCUGCGAUAAGAGAAGAAAUAGACCAAAGAAUUGCUCCCAGAUAAAUAAGCCAUCACCCUUAUCCAGGUAUAAAAGUUAAUAAAGGCCAUGGGACUGCAAGAACUAGCCAUCCAGAGAACCUGUAUUGAAGAAGUCAUUUUCUCUGCAAUGGCCCAGCCGCAACACAAAUGUAGGAUAUGAGCCACCCUUCCAGCAGCUCUACAACAGAGUGAGCAGACCAUUGGGCUACUCGCUACUGUAAUAUUGAGUACCUCAAAUAAAGUAUUAUUAAGUGGCAUGUAUAAUAGCAGAUCCCUCUCUUGGUUUUACCAUCACACCUGCUAGACUAAGCUAUCAUUCUCUCCUCCAACGAUAGAAGUGACUACUGAUGUCUUAGAAAGUGGCAAAGCUAUACAUAUUACCAUCUUACUUUACUGAAUCCUUCAGGUUUUGGCUAUCAAGAGUAUGUUCUGCUUUGGGCAAGUAUCUAUGGUUUGUCGUGCUCUAUUUGUGUAGGCCAAGUCGAUGAACCAUGUAAUGAAAUUAUUA